AAUGAACGUUGGCGGCGUGGAUUAGGCAUGCGAGUCGUGCGAGAACCGUAGCAAUACGGGGACAGCGGCGAAAGGGAGAGGAACACGUGGGUACCUACCCUCAGACUCAGGAUAGCCAUGGGAAACUAUGGGUAAUACUGAAUAAUGUCUUCGGACCAAAGGUGUGAUUCCGUCCGAGGAGGGGCCCGCGUCCUAUUAGCUAGUUGGUGGGGUAACGGCUCACCAAGGCAAGGAUGGGUACGGGAUGUGAGAGCAUGAUCCCGCUCAUUGGGACUGAGACACUGCCCAGACACCUACGGGUGGCUGCAGUCGAGAAUCUUCGGCAAUGGGGGAAACCCUGACCGAGCGACGCCGCGUGCGAGAUGAAGGCCUUCGGGUUGUAAAUCGCUGUCGUAGGGGAGGAAAUACUGGUGGGUUCUCCCAUCAGCUUGACCUAUCCUAGGAGGAAGGACGGGCUAAGUUCGUGCCAGCAGCCGCGGUAAGACGAACCGUCCAAACGUUAUUCGGAAUCACUGGGCUUAAAGGGUGCGUAGGCGGUCCGGAAAGUUGGGUGUGAAAGCCCUCGGCUCAACCGAGGAACUGCGCCCAAAACUGCCGGGCUCGAGGGAGACAUAGGUGAGCGGAACCUAGGGUGGAGCGGUGAAAUGCGUUGAGAUCCUAGGGAACACCAGUAGCGAAAGCGGCUCACUGGGUCUCUUCUGACGCUGAUGCACGAAAGCUAGGGGAGCGAAGAGGAUUAGAUACCCUCGUAGUCCUAGCCGUAAACGAUGAGCACUGGUUUGGAGGGUCCUCCAUAGCCUUCCAGACGUAGCGAAAGUGUUAAGUGCUCCGCCUGGGGAGUAUGGUCGCAAGGCUG
Molecule: ribosomal RNA, 856 nt
Filed under: uncultured bacterium
Lineage: Bacteria
Description: bacterial SSU rRNA
Rfam family: Bacterial small subunit ribosomal RNA
Source: RNAcentral